This 497-nucleotide ribosomal RNA is filed under the name uncultured bacterium. RNAcentral describes it as "partial 16S ribosomal RNA". It matches the Rfam family "Bacterial small subunit ribosomal RNA", at positions 28 to 507 of the family's 1533-position model. The record is from RNAcentral.
GAUGAACGCUGGCGGCGUGCCUAAUACAUGCAAGUCGAGCGAACGGACGAGAAGCUUGCUUCUCUGAUGUUAGCGGCGGACGGGUGAGUAACACGUGGAUAACCUACCUAUAAGACUGGGAUAACUUCGGGAAACCGUAGCUAAUACCGGAUAAUAUUUUGAACCGCAUGGUUCAAAAGUGAAAGACGGUCUUGCUGUCACUUAUAGAUGGAUCCGCGCUGCAUUAGCUAGUUGGUAAGGUAACGGCUUACCAAGGCAACGAUGCAUAGCCGACCUGAGAGGACGAGCAGCACAAGUGGGACUGAGACACGGUGGAGACUCUUACGGGAGGCAGAAGUGGGGAGUAUUGCACAAUGGGCGCAAGCCUGAAAGCUCAAUGACGAGUGAGUGAAGAAGGUCUACGGAUUGUACAACUCUGUGGUAAGGAACGAAAAGACGCGUAAGAAGAACUGCGAAUCAUGAGGGUACCUAAAGAAAAAGAAACGGAUAACUUCGUG